Molecule: transfer RNA, 21 nt
Filed under: Hyla tsinlingensis (Tsinling tree toad)
Lineage: Eukaryota; Metazoa; Chordata; Amphibia; Anura; Hylidae
Description: partial tRNA-Phe
Source: RNAcentral
ACCCUAAAAAGUUCUUUAACA